ACCAGACUCCUACGGGAGGCAGCAGUGGGGAAUAUUGCACAAUGGGGGAAACCCUGAUGCAGCGACGCCGCGUGAGCGAUGAAGUAUUUCGGUAUGUAAAGCUCUAUCAGCAGGGAAGAAAAUGACGGUACCUGACUAAGAAGCCCCGGCUAACUACGUGCCAGCAGCCGCGGUAAUACGUAGGGGGCAAGCGUUAUCCGGAUUUACUGGGUGUAAAGGGAGCGUAGACGGCUGUGCAAGCCAGAUGUGAAAGGCCGGGGCUCAACCCCGGGACUGCAUUUGGAACUGUGUGGCUGGAGUGUCGGAGAGGCAGGCGGAAUUCCUAGUGUAGCGGUGAAAUGCGUAGAUAUCAGGAGGAACACCGGCGGCGAAGGCGGCCUGCUGGACUGAAACUGACGUUGAGGCUCGAAAGCGUGGGGAGCAAACAGGAUUAGAUACCCGGGUAAU
This 447-nucleotide ribosomal RNA is filed under the name uncultured bacterium. RNAcentral describes it as "bacterial SSU rRNA". It matches the Rfam family "Bacterial small subunit ribosomal RNA", at positions 330 to 794 of the family's 1533-position model. The record is from RNAcentral.